CUAGGACAAUAGGACUUGAACCUAUACCAAAGAACUCAAAAUCCUUUGUGCUCCCAUUACACCACAUCCUA
Molecule: non-coding RNA, 71 nt
Organism: Sarcophilus harrisii (Tasmanian devil)
Lineage: Eukaryota; Metazoa; Chordata; Mammalia; Dasyuromorphia; Dasyuridae
Source: Ensembl